Molecule: non-coding RNA, 6930 nt
Organism: Chrysemys picta bellii (western painted turtle)
Lineage: Eukaryota; Metazoa; Chordata; Testudines; Emydidae
Source: RefSeq, a predicted model, not a curated record
AGCACCCCUGUAAGAGUACCAACAGGAAGAGGAGAGAGAGAAAUGCAUCAAGACAUAAUGGGGCUUCUCUGGCAUCAAAUACAGAUGCUGCAGACUCUUGUGGAUCUAUAGAUUCAACAGUCAUCUCCUUUUGCAGUCUAUGGAGAACUCCAUUUUAGUGCCUUCCUACACCACCACCACCCCUAUAUUUCACAUGGCACUAGAAGCCACAUCUCUACCCCCACCACUCCACACCAGGGGACAAUAAGGACAAUUACACCUUCACAUACACUGACCUGUGAGAGAAACUGCAGAGCCAGGUAGAGCACAGUCCACCGCAACACAUUACUGUGGCUCGCUGUUAAAGUGCUCUUUCAAAGCCUUCCUGAGCCAUAUAGCUCAGGGUUGAGCUCUUCUAAUAGCCCUUGUGUCUGGCUCUUCAAAUUAAGCAGAGAGCACCUCCACCUCCAUUCUCUAUCCCGGCUGCAACUUUUCCCCCUUUCCGCCACAGAUAUUAUGCAGGACGCAGGAGGCAGCUAUAACCAUCAGGAUGUUUUUUUACUUAGAUUUUUAUGCAGAGUCUUGUGAGUAAACAACGCCAGCAUCUCUUCAAACUACCAAAAGCAGAUUCAACUGUCAUUCUGCAACUUCCGAGCUGGUAGCUGAAUCUUUCCUUCGUGCUCUCAAGAUGGCCAGCAUACAGCUUCAUGAGCCAGGGGAGCAAGAGCUCUCAUUCUGGUGUCCUAACACAGGAAUGCUGGGGUGAGCUUGGCACACAGAUCCAGGAAUGUGGCCUAGUGAAUCCAAAAGUUCUGCAGACCCUGCUCGUCAUCCCUAACCCUGCAUUAUGGUGCGACCUGAACAGUCAGUGCUCAUUUCUCAGACACAGAAGUGGCGCUCCACGAUCUGCAGCUGCUCCAUAAAUGACACCAACAACUUUGAAUUGGAUCUUGAUGUGUUCCACAGCAAUCUGUCCUCCACAAAAUUGUCAUAUUCCCCGCUGAUUCGGUUCUUCUUUCAACUCUGCAAAUAUCGGAGUAUCAUACAUCCUGUGAUUGCAACACUCAUGACAAUGGUGCAGAAAUGUGCAGGUGCCAUGCUUUUGUCAAAUAUGGCAGGCAGCAAGAAGGGCCAUGUGGGUUUGUGCAGUUUUUUUAAAAGGAGAAAAAUUAUGGGAUAUAGAUGGCAUUAUGGGAUAGAGAAAGUUGCAUGAUGGGAAAUUGACUCCCUUGCUCCCAGUCUCACCUUUCACUCCCAUAACUUCCCAAAAGACAGUGGACAGGACAGUGGCAAGUUGCACACAGGGAUAGCUAUCCAUAGUGCACCAUGCUGUGCAGCGAAACAAGCAUUCCUGGUGGGUUCACACAAUGCCAUCAUCAGGAGCUAAGUAUGCAUGCGCACAAGCAAUAUACUGUGACAGCUUUACGCCAACAUAGUUUGCAUCAGCAAAAGCUUGUAAUAUAGACAUGCCCUAAGUAACUUUCGAGAUCAGAGUGUGGAAAGAUAAUCUACAACCGUCAAGCGAGAGCCUAGCAGGUUUGUGUGACACGCAGAGGUAUUUUGGGUACAAUGACUUCUUUUGAAUUUAUAAGUUGUCUCAACCUGUAACAGUGCAGGGGAUUUUGGCAGAACACUCUCUUUUAUGACAGCACAUAUGCUGUUUAAGUCGUCAAAUCCUCUUGGCCAUUUUUCCAGGAAGAGGUUGAAUGCAUGUGGUAUGCAAGUCAUAGGAAUGGCAUUGGGAAAUGCCACUAAAAACUGAUCUAACAGCUGUUUUCAUUAAAGAAGCAUUAUGGGACAUCAUGCAAAAAACUCUGUCAAAAUCAACUUUCUGUAGUACCCUUAGUAAAGCAUGGCUGAGAGUGGAAUAAUUUUAAGCUAUCUAGCCAUUCAAUAUCUAGCAAAAGAAGUUUCUUAGUAGCUCUGAAAAAAAGGAUGAAUAAUGAUAGCUCCCUUCAGCCACAUAAGUCUGUUAUUUCAUCCAACAAUGCAUUCACCUGACAAUCAUGCACUGCUUGGAAAAUAAGUUCCUUGUGUUCUGGUCUGAGUUGCGGAAGGUAAAUAUUUCUUAGUUGUGCAGGACUUGGAAGAGUUCCACCUUCCUUUGUGUAAUGGCAUGAAAAAUCAGUUUACAAUGAGGCCUUUACAAGGGCAAUAUCAGCUCAGACAAUAACUCUUGACAAAUGCCAGCAUAAAGCUAUCACAGUAUUCUUCAGAGUGCACUGUCUGACAUAAACACCCAGUUUUUGUUGUUGUCUGGGACUCAGGCCCUUCACCUUUAUUUUUAGAGUGUCUUCUCCUCCAACUAUAUUUUGUAUUUAGCAUAAAUGUGUAGGGCUUGUUUUGUAAAUGUGAAAUACUAUGGAAACAGAACAGAAUAUUACUGCCAGCAAAUUCAAUGAUACAGAUUUUCAGGGCAAAACUAUGCUCAUUCAACUACGUAAACCAUAUUGAUGGCUGUAUUUUUGGAGGGCUGGGGUGGUGGGAGAAGGGAAAGGUCAGCUUUUUUAGUAGUUUCCCAUAAUAACUUUUAUACCAUGAAGGUGUGGCUUUUUGUAGAAUAUGUACACACACACACACACAUAUACAUAUAUAAAGAGAGCAUGCACACACAGUUUUGCUGGCUAGCUGCACUACAAAAAUGGCUUAAAAUAAAUACCCAAAAAUGAAAAUAAACCCCCCAAAACCAGAAACCUUAAGUAUAAUUCAGAAAUUUCCUUUCUAACAUCCCUCUCUGUACUGCUUCUACUGUCUUCGCAAACAAUAUACAAAAUAUUACUUCUUCUCAAUGUGAGAAUCAAAGGCUGCAUCAGCUCUUCCCACAAGUCUUCUUACCACAAAAAAUUCAGGGGGUGGCGGAUUUUCCUUUUUUCUUCUAAUUAUCAACAUGACUUGGCUUCCCAGCAUACUUGUAUGUCCUCCCAGGCAUGCUGCACCAGAAAAACAACACUAGUGGAAAGUCUAAAUUCAUGUCUUCUAAAUUCUGCUUGAACUAUUAACAUGUACUUCCAUCUCACUUAGAAUCUGAUUACGCAUAGUCUACCUUGCACUGCAUCAGUGUCAAUGGACAAACAGUAUGGCUGCUAAAUUAAGGAAGCACAUAAUGCCAAAUCAUGCUAUUCAGAUCACUACACAAGAUUCAUGUUAAUUUGGUCUGAAAUAGCCUGAAUUUGGUGGACAUGUUUGAUGGGGUAUUUGGUGGGCUGAGACUAUGAAGGGGUGGAUAAAAGUUUCUGUAAGUAUCUGUCUGAGUUCCUGUUAAAUCAAUCCUGCUGGAACUUUAUGACGUUAUUAUGUUAGGACACCUAGAGUCUUGGAGAGGUGUCUUUUUAUUAUUUAAAAUCUAAAUAAAUACUGAGAUAAUAUUUAAUAACUUUCCAGAAACAGUUGUUCUCCAAAGACAUUGUAUAUCUCUAUACAAACAAAUUACCUCUAUGGGUUCUGUAUUAAGACCCAGAGAGAACUCCUGAAGUUCAAUGCUCUGAGCUCUUGAAUUCAGCAAAAGGUAUCCUCAUCAAAACAUAUUUGCUGUCAGCAAUGUUCAUCACACUCUCUUUAUCAAGACUGUAGCCUUUUUCAUUACCCCAUCAUUCUAUUAUUUAUGUUUUGCUAAAACUAUAUAUUAUAACACUGAUACACUGACCGUUCCUAUAUUCAGCACCCGUAACACAUUAGACACCAAAUUUCCUUAUCCUGUUCUUAUUUACAGCAUUUCAUUGUGGAGCCUGAGUUGCACAGUGACAUCGUUCUAGGGCUCACGAGUGGCACUCCAAUGGCAUGAUCCAAAGCCAACUGAAGACAACAGAAGCCUUUCCAUUGACUUCAGUGGGUUUUGGGUAGGGAUCAAGAGAGGAGUGGGACCAACGGGAUGAAUGCAUCAGCAGUUUCAAUGAUAAAAUCACGAUGAAAAGGAACCUAAGCUCCUCCAAAAGAUGCUCUUAAUAGGAGCUGGAGAAAAGAACAUCAAAUUCUUGGAGCUUUGAUGAUGUCAGAGACACCAAACUCUAGUAGGAGUCCAUGGGAAUCUCUGGUAAAUUUGUAAAUUGAGCAACUUGUAGAUUAUUUGGGUACAGAUGAACAAGUCAAGGAUACCAAAGAACUUGCAACACUGAAAGCAGAGUUCUUUUUUAAUAUGUAACAAUAUCGUCCAGUGCUUGAAAUAAAUUCUCAAAUGAAGCAGCUCAUUAUUUUGUGAAAUAUAUUAAUGUAUUGGAGAAAACACAUCGCUUUUGCUGAAUCACAAGUUUCUCAGUUUAUUAUUGAUGUCACCCAUAAGACAAACAGAGUUUUAUUUAGAAAUGCAUGGUGGGAGAAUUUGCCAAGUCCAGGGCAACAUUACAUUUUAUCUAGUAUGGGAAAUUUUCACUUUUCUUAAUGAUGAACUAGCUGGCUUUCGAUGGAUUAUGUUAGAGGCUGAGAACUAAAAGAAUAAUAAUAAGCAUGUAUGGAAAUUUGUUUAAUUAUUGCAGUAGCACAUUUCAAUGACUUAAGUCUAAUUAAUUCCCUUUGCUAUUUGAAGCCUUUUUUUUUUUUUUUUUUUGCUUUUAUGACCAAAACCUGCUCUGUUUUUAUUAUUUUGGGCUCAAUCAUUCCCACCCCGGGAAUGGGUUUUGCGUAGGAAAUUUUCAUGAGGAACCCUCACAUCAUCCUAUGGGGAAGGGAUCAAUUUGUCCUCCAGCUGUGCAGUAGCCUGCAGGAUAUGCUGUUUUCCUGGCAGGUCCCCAGAAACCACAUGGAGGAUAUAGAAGGCCACCCAGAGGUUCUGUGCCUCUGCACGAAACUAGGCCUCAGUGGCAAACUUGGUCUAAUGUGUUGCUCCAUUUAUUUAACCUAUUUGCUUUUGAGGAAUGGAGACAGAAUUGCAUAACAUACAGUCCCAGAGCCUUAAAAUUCCAUCUUAUCCCUCAGAGAGUUUACAAGAACAUAUUGCUACUCAAUAGAUUUCACCCUGCAGGGCAAGUGGGACUUUAGGAGUCUAGGGCUUGAAUCUGAUUUAACUUACACCUGUGCAAGUCAGGAGUAACUAUUGAACCCCAUGGUGUUAAACUAGUAUAAAAAUGGUGUAUGUGAAAAAAGAAUCAGGUUCCAUCACUGCUAUUGUUUAAGACUACGAUUAUGUCACAGAGGUCAUGGAAGUCACGGAAUCUGUGACUUCCAGAGACCUCUGUGACAUUUUCUGUCCUGGUCCCAGCCAGCCCCCCCCUUCCCCCCGCAGCUCUCAGCCCUUGCCCUGGUGGGGGGACCCCCCACAUCUGCCCAGCUGUGGCAGACAGACCCUGUGAGGGGACCCCGCAGCAGCCCAGCCCCCACAGGUGGCAGGGGACCCCAGAGCUCCCACUCACUGCAGGUGGCAGGGUACCCCCCCCAGAGCUCCUUGCUGCCACAGAUGGCAGGGGCCCCCCCAGAGCUGGUCAGCCAUUGCGCGGAGGGAUUCCAGAGCUCCCACUGACCGCAGCGGCAGGGGACCCCAAGCCGCAGCAGCAGUGAGUGCUGAACCCACCUGCCCAUUUUGUCAGGGAUAGUUUUAGUGAAAGUCAGGGACAAGUCAUCGGCUUCUGUGAAUUUCUGUUUAUUGCCCGUGACCUGUCCAUGACUUUUACUAAAAAUAUCUGUCACAAAAUCUUAGUCUUACUGUUGUUUAGUCAAAGGAGUUCUGCUCUCUGAGGCUUUCACUGACUGACUUUUCAUAUCCUCUUCUAUUCACAACUUUGCUUUUCAACUUUAGUGGCAGAAAUCCAGGCCAGAAACAAAGCAGUGGUCCCUGCAUUUCUCUAAUGAAAUACAAUUAUUGUCAUAUUUGAGCCAAAUGGAAAAUAGACAUGAGGCCAAGACAUUUUUUCUUGUUUUGUUAUGACUGACGGUCCUAUUAAAUAUUCAGCCAAGCAAGUAUCCUAUAUAGUAUUGUUAGCCAAGAUUUUUCAAAAGUGGCUAGUGAUUUUGGGUGUGUAAUUUUAAAUAUCUUAAAGGAGCUUGAUUUGGACACACUGUUGCACACCUUCUGAAAAUCAGGCAUCUUAAAGUGUCGCAAGUUGGGCUCCCAAAUCUCUAGCCGCUUUAGAAAGCCUUGACCUUGAUCUUUUCAGACAAGAGAGAGUGGUUUAACUUGGCUAAUGUCACCAAAUGAAUUUACAUCUACUAGUCCCAAAGAGAUAAAGGACAUGUAGGGAGAGCUCCAUACAAGACAACCUGCAGAGUUUGGUAAAGCAAUCUCUGUUUUUAUAAUAAAAUGCUAAGAAUGAGACAAAGUAGCUUUUUGUAUGGAUGGAAAAGACACAGGAUUUACUGUACUGCUUCAACUUGUACAAAGUUGACAGUGCCUUUAUUGUACAAAAGAAAAAUAAAUUAAACAAACGACAGAGCAAGUAGAGUAAAGAGAUGCUCUUUUUCAGCUAUUUUCAUACCAUAUGGUCGUAUAAUUCAUCUAAUUCAGCUACUUGGUUUUCCAGGACUUACUUUUAGCUCUUUGUUCAGGAUUUUUUUUAUUUAUUUUACUAACAGAAAGAUAUAAUGGACUGGAGCGAUAAAACAGAAAUCAGACCUUUGCUAAAACUGUCAAAAUUCGCCUUUUUGAGAUUGGAAGCUCUUUGGUGCAGAUAACCUAUACAUCUGUACAGCGCCUAGCACAAUGGGGCACGGGACUUCUCUGGGGUCUCUACGUACUACUGCAAUACAUAUGUUAAAUAACAAGAAAUGAUGAUGACGAAUGUUUAAUAUCUUUCACAAAAACGUGCUUGUAAUCAAAACUCUGUUUUUGUCAGUAAAAUAGUCUUCCUUCCCUAAAAACAUACAGUAUGUCACAGCAGAAAUGAUGCAAAAGGAUGAAGUUGUUCAAUCACUUGGUCUCAGUCUGAAUACAACCUAUAAGAUCAUCAGUUAAAAUCAUAUAUGAGAUGGUAUCCGAAAGAUCCAUUUUUAAAUUGUCACUACAAAAUAAAAAGGACUGCAAAAAUU